GAGGAGACACCGCAAGUGAACAGCACACUGAUGACAUCUCCCCGUACGGGACAUUCAACAGAGAUUGCAGAUUACUCAAAGACUCCAAGUUAUGCUGACAUAGAAGGAAACGUGCAUGAACUUGUGAGAUCCUAAAGUUCACUACAGACACCAGGAAAAUUUCAUCAUGUCCAAGAUGAGUUUUGUAUGGAAGUGGAUCGCUUUUCCCAAUCUGAUCAUCAGAUGCUGGAAAUCUGAAAUUAAAACAGAAGUUGCAACAGAAAUACUCAGCAGCCAUCAAUGAAAGAAAGAAAGCCAUGGGACCCGUUCAAAGAAAAAUAUCAACAACUCUGCCCAAAAAAAAAUGUGCAAAUGGCAAAAAGAGCAUCAACCCCCACUUGCAAAAAAAUUGCAUUUUUGGCAACAUGAUAGAAUGGGCGAAAACACAGAAUCAAAAGAGUCCGAUCGAACUACAGUCCAACCCACAAACUGCAGACCCACUACUUGAUUACCAUCCUCCAACAGCAUUGAGGGAGAGAGGUUCAACUUGAAAAAGAGGAAUUUGGUCAUAGGAACUGAACAGGAAAGUAGACAACAUACCAACAGAACAAAUAUGAGCUGCAUAAAAGCAAAAUGGAGAUAAUGCCAAAGGAAUCAAAAGUCCGACAUUAAAACUUUGAAUUAUGUUAAUGAAUUCACAUUGACGACCUGAUCAAAGUGUCUGAAACUAAUGCUAAGGUUAAUGGUUUUCAAAAUGAUAAUAGAAAGUAACAAAAAUUUAGCAGCAAAAUGUAAUGCUAAAUUUGAAAGAAAUAAAAAAGGAAUCAAAUGGAGGAAAUGUUGUUUAUGAAGGAAAUAUGAUUAAGAAAAAUCAUCAGCUUUCAAUGAUGUACCAGAUCUAAUUGUAGAGGAUGAAAUUAUGAUAGAGAUUUUAAGUAAUUUCCUUAAGUAGUGGGAAAAUGGGAAUACGGAAGGAUAAGGAAGAAGAUUAUACGAGGACAAGGAAUGUAGAAAAUGAAUUAUUUUUAAAUAUAGUCAUUGACUGUAAUAAUUGAAACCCACCAGCAAACACUAUAAUUAUAUAAAAUCUGGAAUGAGAUAGCUGAGGGAAUGAUUAUAUCAGUAGUGAGAAUACAUAUGAAUUUGCAAAUAUUCUACAGAUAAAUGAUUAGUAAUUUAAGCUUUACCAUAAACCUGGAGAAGAAGUAACAGCUUUGUUCAAUAUUAAACUGUA
Molecule: long non-coding RNA, 1213 nt
Organism: Mobula hypostoma (lesser devil ray)
Lineage: Eukaryota; Metazoa; Chordata; Chondrichthyes; Myliobatiformes; Myliobatidae
Exons: 3
Source: RefSeq, a predicted model, not a curated record